UGCCAACUUAAGUAGUGGAGUGCUAGGGAGGAAUAAGCUAAUAAGCAUCAGAGAACUGGUGAUGGAGCUUAUUGUGGGAAGGAGGCAGAGAGAGUUCAGGACUGCGGAACUGCCCGAUGGUACUAAAGCACUCAUCUUUCUUUGGAUGGUAGGUUACGUGAUAUGUGCCUAAUAAUUGUGCAGUAUUCCAAAUACAUUAUAUGUGCUUUCUCUGUAUGUGCAUUAUGUCUCAUGCUUUAAAAAUACAGAGAAGGAGCAGGGAUUUGACCCAACGGUUAAGAUGCCUGCAUCCCACAUCAGAGUGCUUGGGUUCAAUUCCCAGCUCUGGCUCCUGCCUUUAGCUUCCUACCACUGCAAACCCUGGGAGGCAAUGGUGAUGGCUCAAGUAAUUGAGUUCCUGCCAGUCCCAACCAGACAUCUGCAGCAGCCAGGGAAAAAUAUCUGGGGUGCGGAUGGGGCAGUGGGGCGGGCAGGCAGGCACACACUCACAGCCUUUUGGAGAGAAGGCUAGAUUAUCUUACAGAGAAGAUGGUUUUGGAAAGAUUAGGCUAUUGUACACAGAACCAUUACACAGCCAGUGUGGCGAGACUGGUGUUAGAGCCCUGCCAGCUGGCUUUCAGAGCCCUUGCUCUUAACCUAGACUGAGUCCCCUAACUCAAGCUGAAAAUGUCACCAGCAAACGUUAAAGGAGAUUCUCUGCCUAACACUGGUUUGAUAAAAGUUUUAUUGGUCUUCAUUCUAGCCAGUUGACUUUAUGCUCCACAGGACUGGGGAAACUUUUUUAAUUUUUUUUUUUUUUUUUGCCAAGGGCCAUAUGGAUAUUUGUGAGAUCAUUCAUGGGCCACACAAAAUUAUCACAUUAAAAAUUAUCUUGCUAUAGAUUUAUUGACUUUUGAGUCCCACCUGCAGUUGUCUUGGCAGGGAUGGAACAAAUGAUUUCGCAGGCUUCGUACAGCCCAUGGGCCAGACAUUCUCCACUCCUGCCUGGAACACAAGAUGAACUGACGGCUCAGAACCCUACAGAUCCCAGGACUAGGUCACUGUAUAACACACAGGAUUCAGUCACAGUAAACAAUGACCCCAACAACCGUCCCCAGUCGGGAAAUGGGGCCAGACUGCCUUGAGAAGGGCUGCCUAAGCAGGUGCAAAAUCCACAGGGCACUGGAGUGGGCUCUGAAUGGUCCUCUCGUUUGCCCUUCACUGUCCCAUCUCUUUCAGUUUACUAAACCUCUGUCCAACUCCCUCACCUGUCCAAUGACAGGUCUUACCAGACCCCAGCCUCUGCCUUAGGGUCCUGGGCUCCCAUGGCCAUGUCUUCAACCUGGCCAGCGACCACCUACACAGGGGAAAUCUAACAAUCACAGCAGCCACACACCUCCCCUGCGGACAGCACUCACCGGGAGCUUACCUUUUAAUUCCAUUUUGCUGCAAGCUUUCUGAAGAGUCCUUGCAUGGGACAUCGUUUUUCAUGAGGUGCAUAUCCCACUUAGAAGCUGCAUUUUAAAAUGAAGCCGUUGAAAUUCUCUUCAUUGCUCAUCCUAAUUCUGGAUUCUGCUUUUAAAGAUACAGUUCUGAAGACUGAUUCAUGAGAGCUGAAAUCAUGAAAUGACAGCUUCUUGUCUACAACUGACUGACCUUUGCCCAGAAAAACAAAUGUACUCCAAUAACCUCUUAGACCAGAGGUCUAUGAACCAUAGCUCACGGGCCCAAAUCUAGCCCACUGCCUGCCUUUUUUAUUUUUUUUUUCCCAGAGAAACCUUUUAUUUAAUGAGUAUAAAUUUCAUAACUACAACUUUAGGAGUUUAGUGAUUCUUCCAGCCCUCCCACCCCCACUCCCACCCCACCACCUCCUCCCUCUCCCAUCCCAGUCUCAUUCUCCAUUAAGAUUCAUUUUCAAUGAACUUUAUAAACAGAACCAAACUCUAUACUAAGUAAAGAUUUCAACAAUUUGCACACACACAAACACAUAAAAAAUAAAAAAAAAAUGUUUGAGAACA
RNAcentral lists this long non-coding RNA (1997 nucleotides) under Oryctolagus cuniculus (rabbit). RNAcentral's name for it is "lncRNA (ENSOCUG00000032509.1)". The record is from RNAcentral. Lineage: Eukaryota; Metazoa; Chordata; Mammalia; Lagomorpha; Leporidae.